GAUGAACGCUGGCGGCGUGCCUAAUACAUGCAAGUCGAGUGAAUGGAUUAAGAGCUUGCUCUUAUGAAGUUAGCGGCGGACGGGUGAGUAACACGUGGGUAACCUGCCCAUAAGACUGGGAUAACUUCGGGAAACCGGGGCUAAUACCGGAUAACAUUUUGAACCGCAUGGUUCGAAAUUGAAAGGCGGCUUCGGCUGUCACUUAUGGAUGGACCCGCGUCGCAUUAGCUAGUUGGUGAGGUAACGGCUCACCAAGGCAACGAUGCGUAGCCGACCUGAGAGGGUGAUCGGCCACACUGGGACUGAGACACGGCCCAGACUCCUACGGGAGGCAGCAGUAGGGAAUCUUCCGCAAUGGACGAAAGUCUGACGGAGCAACGCCGCGUGAGUGAGGAAGGCUUUCGGGUCGUAAAACUCUGUUGUUAGGGAAGAACAAGUGCUAGUUGAAUAAGCUGGCACCUUGACGGUACCUAACCAGAAAGCCACGGCUAACUACGUGCCAGCAGCCGCAGUAA
RNAcentral lists this ribosomal RNA (515 nucleotides) under uncultured bacterium. RNAcentral's name for it is "partial 16S ribosomal RNA". It matches the Rfam family "Bacterial small subunit ribosomal RNA", at positions 28 to 523 of the family's 1533-position model. The record is from RNAcentral.